Molecule: ribosomal RNA, 429 nt
Filed under: Bacteroidota bacterium
Lineage: Bacteria; Pseudomonadati; Bacteroidota
Description: Bacteroidetes bacterium partial 16S ribosomal RNA
Rfam family: Bacterial small subunit ribosomal RNA
Source: RNAcentral
UAGGGAAUCUUCGGCGAUGGGGGGAACCCUGACCGAGCAACGCCGCGUGAGUGAAGAAGGUUUUCGGAUCGUAAAGCUCUGUUGUUAAGGAAGAACGAGUGUGAGAAUGGAAAGUUCAUGCUGUGACGGUACUUAACCAGAAAGGGACGGCUAACUACGUGCCAGCAGCCGCGGUAAUACGUAGGUCCCGAGCGUUGUCCGGAUUUAUUGGGCGUAAAGCGAGCGCAGGCGGUUAGAAAAGUCUGAAGUGAAAGGCAGUGGCUCAACCAUUGUAGGCUUUGGAAACUGUUUAACUUGAGUGCAGAAGGGGAGAGUGGAAUUCCAUGUGUAGCGGUGAAAUGCGUAGAUAUAUGGAGGAACACCGGUGGCGAAAGCGGCUCUCUGGUCUGUAACUGACGCUGAGGCUCGAAAGCGUGGGGAGCGAACAGG